CCGUAGCCCAAGAGAUCGGGAUAACGACCUGGAAACAGAUGCUAAUACCGGAUAACAACAGAUGAUGCCUAUCAACUGUUUAAAAGAUGGUUCUGCUAUCACUCUUGGAUGGACCUGCGGUGCAUUAGCUAGUUGGUAGGGUAACGGCCUACCAAGGCGAUGAUGCAUAGCCGAGUUGAGAGACUGAUCGGCCACAUUGGGACUGAGACACGGCCCAAACUCCUACGGGAGGCAGCAGC
This 239-nucleotide ribosomal RNA is filed under the name uncultured Lactobacillus sp. Its description in RNAcentral is "partial 16S ribosomal RNA". It matches the Rfam family "Bacterial small subunit ribosomal RNA", at positions 125 to 355 of the family's 1533-position model. The record is from RNAcentral. Lineage: Bacteria; Bacillati; Bacillota; Bacilli; Lactobacillales; Lactobacillaceae.